RNAcentral lists this ribosomal RNA (492 nucleotides) under uncultured bacterium. RNAcentral describes it as "partial 16S ribosomal RNA". It matches the Rfam family "Bacterial small subunit ribosomal RNA", at positions 29 to 507 of the family's 1533-position model. The record is from RNAcentral.
AGUGAACGCUGGCGGUAGGCCUAACACAUGCAAGUCGAACGGCAGCACAGUAAGAGCUUGCUCUUACGGGUGGCGAGUGGCGGACGGGUGAGGAAUACAUCGGAAUCUACUUUUUCGUGGGGGAUAACGUAGGGAAACUUACGCUAAUACCGCAUACGACCUACGGGUGAAAGCAGGGGAUCUUCGGACCUUGCGCGAUUGAAUGAGCCGAUGUCGGAUUAGCUAGUUGGCGGGGUAAAGGCCCACCAAGGCGACGAUCCGUAGCUGGUCUGAGAGGAUGAUAGGCCACCUGGGAACUGAGACACGGUCCAGACUCCUACGGGAGGGAGCAGUGGGGAAUAUUGGACAAUGGGGGCAAGCCUGAUCCAGCCAUACCGCGUGGGUGAAGAAGGCGUUCGGGUUGUAAAGCCCUUUUGUUGGGAAAGAAAAGCAGCAGGUUAAUACCCCGCUGUUCUGACGGUACCCAAAGAAUAAGCACCGGCUAACUUCGUG